CGUUUCCGGCGUGCUUUACCAUUGCAAGUCGAACGGGAAGCGGCGCUUAUCACUUCGGUGGUGUAGCGCUGUGGAGAGUGGCGAACGGGUGCGUAACACGUAGGUAACCUGCCCUGAAAGGGGGGAUAACCACGGGAAACUGUGGCUAAUACCGCAUAAUUUCGCCGUGACGGUGGUUGCGGUGAGGAAAGUUCAGGCGAUUUGGGAGGGGCCUGCGGUCGAUUAGCUGGUUGGUGGGGUAAAGGCCCACCAAGGCGAUGAUCGAUAGCUGUUCUGAGAGGAAGACCAGCCACACGGGAACUGAGACACGGUUCCGACUCCUACGGGGGGCAGCAGUGAGGAAUAUUGCGCAAUGGGGGGAACCCUGACGCAGCAACGCCGCGUGGAGGAUGAAGGUUUUCGGAUUGUAAACUCCUUAACUGGGGGAAGAGAGAGGACGGUACCCCAGGACGAAGACACGGCUAACUAGGUGCCAGCAGCCGCGGUAAUACCUAGGUGUCGAGCGUUAUCCGGAAUUACUGGGCGUAAAGGGUGCGCAGGCGGCGAUACAAGUCUGGCGUGAAAGCUUCUGGCUUAACUGGGAGAGGACGUUAGAAACUGUAUGGCUAGAGUGAGUGAGAGGGGGGCGGAAAUCCCGGUGUAGUGGUGGAAUGCGUAGAUAUCGGGAAGAACACCAGAGGCGAAGGCGGCCUCCUGGCAUUUUACUGACGCUGAGGCACGAAAGCGUGGGUAGCGAACGGGAUUAGAUACCCCGGUAGUCCACGCUGUUAACGAUGUGAAACGAGGUGUGGGCGG
RNAcentral lists this ribosomal RNA (795 nucleotides) under uncultured Chloroflexota bacterium. RNAcentral describes it as "bacterial SSU rRNA". It matches the Rfam family "Bacterial small subunit ribosomal RNA", at positions 34 to 829 of the family's 1533-position model. Lineage: Bacteria; Bacillati; Chloroflexota. The record is from RNAcentral.